Molecule: long non-coding RNA, 99 nt
Organism: Alosa sapidissima (American shad)
Lineage: Eukaryota; Metazoa; Chordata; Actinopteri; Clupeiformes; Clupeidae
Exons: 3
Source: RefSeq, a predicted model, not a curated record
AUGGUUACUUGGGACCCACUAUCCAGUAUGGCUGUACAGGGGUUACCGUUCACUCUCACUUGCACUGUAGAAGGUGGAAACAUGAGACCUUAGGGAAGC